CCUACGGGAGGCAGCAGUGAGGAAUCUUGCGCAAUGGGCGAAAGCCUGACGCAGCGACGCCGCGUGAAGGAUGAAGGUCUUCGGAUUGUAAACUUCUGUUAAGGGUGAAGAAAGCCUUGCAAGUAAUAUGUGCAAGGUCUGACGGUAUCCCUAAAGAAAGCACCGGCUAACUUCGUGCCAGCAGCCGCGGUAAU
RNAcentral lists this ribosomal RNA (194 nucleotides) under uncultured bacterium. Its description in RNAcentral is "partial 16S rRNA". It matches the Rfam family "Bacterial small subunit ribosomal RNA", at positions 338 to 524 of the family's 1533-position model. The record is from RNAcentral.